ACGGGAGACACACGGCGGGUGCUAACGUCCGUCGUGAAGAGGGAAACAACCCAGACCGCCAGCUAAGGUCCCAAAGUCAUGGUUAAGUGGGAAACGAUGUGGGAAGGCCCAGACAGCCAGGAUGUUGGCUUAGAAGCAGCCAUCAUUUAAAGAAAGCGUAAUAGCUCACUGGUCGAGUCGGCCUGCGCGGAAGAUGUAACGGGGCUAAACCAUGCACCGAAGCUGCGGCAGCGACGCUUAUGCGUUGUUGGGUAGGGGAGCGUUCUGUAAGCCUGCGAAGGUGUGCUGUGAGGCAUGCUGGAGGUAUCAGAAGUGCGAAUGCUGACAUAAGUAACGAUAAAGCGGGUGAAAAGCCCGCUCGCCGGAAGACCAAGGGUUCCUGUCCAACGUUAAUCGGGGCAGGGUGAGUCGACCCCUAAGGCGAGGCCGAAAGGCGUAGUCGAUGGGAAACAGGUUAAUAUUCCUGUACUUGGUGUUACUGCGAAGGGGGGACGGAGAAGGCUAUGUUGGCCGGG
RNAcentral lists this ribosomal RNA (515 nucleotides) under Escherichia coli. RNAcentral describes it as "partial 23S ribosomal RNA". It matches the Rfam family "Bacterial large subunit ribosomal RNA", at positions 977 to 1495 of the family's 2925-position model. The record is from RNAcentral. Lineage: Bacteria; Pseudomonadati; Pseudomonadota; Gammaproteobacteria; Enterobacterales; Enterobacteriaceae.